UAUACAUGGCUAGACAAAAUAGACAGCCAGACACAAAGACAGACGGAGGUGGGGAGGGAACGGGACUCGAACGGAAAAAAAGAUAAGAGCAUCGUAGCCUGGCGUGCGUGCGUGAGUUCGCGUUUCGUUGGGCCUCCACCACUGAUAACGUUAUCACCGAAGGAAAGCCGAGAGAAAAAAAGAAAAAAAAAAAAAAAACAUAUAAGGAGCAUAUCCACGAUUUCCUUAAGGCUUUUCCCCAAGCAAGAAAGCAAAAGGCCCGAGCAACAAGCAGGCAGGGCGGCAGGCAGGCAGGACACCCAGCUAUGGCGGCCGACAUGGCAAGGUGUCAGACAACAGCUGGUGGAAUGAGUCACCGCCGCUGGCUACGACGCAGGCACGAAGUUUACCGUAAAAAGAUAAUGUUGAUAAUGAACAAUAAUGCACUAAAUGGUUAGAUGAACACGAGAUGAUUCAGAUGAGGAUGUAUAAAAAGAGAAUGCAUGAGUCAGGGGAUUUAGGUGUGUGUGUAUGUGUGUGUGUGUGUGUGUGUGUUUGUGUGUGUGUGUGUGAUGAAUACUGAAUGUAUAAUCUAUUGUAUAUUUUAUGAAUAUAAUCGUACUUAUCAGUUUAGAGAGAUAUAGAGAUAGCCACCUAAAAAUUCGCAUUAUUGAUUCUUUGAACGAAUGAUAACCAACAUACUAUUGAUAAAGUGCACCAAUCCGCAAAUGAACGAAUAAACACAUGAAGAACCUGAGAGUAGGAGACUCAAAAAAGAAAGAAAGAAUAAAAAAAGGAAACAGCUAAUGUUAUCCUAGUCUAGAGCAUAAUAUUAUGAACGCUGGCAGACACAGCAGACGUCACCAGACUAAUCCUGGCCAAAGAAUAGGCACUGGGACAGAGAGGCGUAUAACAAGAGCCUCUGGACUAGCGCAAUAAGGCACACGGCCUCUUACAUGUAAACUAAAACCCACGCCCAAAGCAGUCGUCUCGGAGGAAGCAGCAGACCUCCAGCCAGGACAUAUGGCAGACUAAGAUAACCCGAUGUAAAUAUGGAGAGGUAGAUGUGGCGCCAGGCGGAGUGUCUACCAAGCCAGACACGCGCAAGGCCACAAAAAAAUGUCUUUCUCCACAGACACCCGGCUAGACGGAUUGUCUACGGAAUCGUACAGCUGAUAAGACACAUCACAGACAUGCCGCGAGACACUCAGACGACACGAAGAAAUCUCUCGAGAAGUUUGAAUUUCACCAAGACGCCGACAGGACGGAGGCUAAACGAGAGCAGCCUCACGCCCUGCCAGGAGGACGACCUUUCAAGUGUCACAGGACCUCGAGCCGAAGGCAGAAGGAGCGGCCGUUGAGCUUCCUUGGUUCCUCCUCGACCAUCACCUUGCAGAGGCGGCCCCGGGCACAGACUCCUUGUCACGGAACUGUCCACAAAUAUGAUGGAUUGGGGGACCAUCCGUCAUUCGCAGGAAGAACCAGUUUAGUCGUAAGGCCCCUCUUUGGCGAGCGACGAUGGCGUGCGACUACCUGUGCGGCUAGUAAUGUUAAGGUAAAAAGAAUAAAUACCUUUUACUGUACUCUCUUCCGCUGAAAGGGAUAGGAACUGUUAGUCGGGAAUGAAAGCAACAGCAACACUACACUACGGACGCAUUCAAGUACUAGGAUAUUAGAUUGUGCUAAUACACCACGGUUAUUUCCUGCGGACGGAAACUGUUGCUGUGAUAUUAAGCACAGGAUUCAGCCGUUUUUGUUUUCAAAUGCUUGGCCUCCUGGUUUAUUUCUGUACACACACACAAAAGAUAAUUAAGAAAGUUAUGAUAAAGAAACUAAAAUAAAUAACCUUGAAUUACCAAAUUACGAGCGACACCAAGUUUCUCUCAAUGGAUCUAUUCAGCCAACUCCUUGGAACGUUAUGACAGAUGUUACCAUUAAGUUCCCGGAUCUUACAGCAGCUGACUAAAUAAGGAUUGGUCCUAUUAACUAUUACUUACAGCCCGAUACGUAUAAAAACAAAAACAACUUUGUAAGUGUGUUUAGUGUUAUAGAUACUAACACAUUAGUUAAAACUAAUUCUACAAUGUAAUAAACUUGUGACCAAUAAAGAGUAGAAAAUAAUUCAUUCUGAUGUAAACAGA
Molecule: long non-coding RNA, 2120 nt
Filed under: Penaeus japonicus
Lineage: Eukaryota; Metazoa; Arthropoda; Malacostraca; Decapoda; Penaeidae
Description: uncharacterized LOC122259268
Source: RNAcentral